RNAcentral lists this ribosomal RNA (496 nucleotides) under uncultured bacterium. RNAcentral's name for it is "partial 16S ribosomal RNA". It matches the Rfam family "Bacterial small subunit ribosomal RNA", at positions 28 to 507 of the family's 1533-position model. The record is from RNAcentral.
GAUGAACGCUGGCGGCGUGCCCAAUACAUGCAAGUCGAGCGAUCGGACGAGAAGCUUGCUUCUCUGAUGUUAGCGGCGGACGGGUGAGUAACACGUGGAUAACCUACCUAUAAGACUGGGAUAACUUCGGGAAACCGGAGCUAAUACCGGAUAAUAUUUUGAACCGCAUGGUUCAAAAGUGAAAGACGGUCUUGCUGUCACUUAUAGAUGGAUCCGCGCUGCAUUAGCUAGUUGGUAAGGUACGGCUUACCAAGGCAACGAUGCAUAGCCGACCUGAGAGGGUGAUCGGCCACACUGGAACUGAGACACGGUCCAGACUCCUACGGGAGGCAGCAGUAGGGAAUCUUCCGCAAUGGGCGAAAGCCUGACGGAGCAACGCCGCGUGAGUGAUGAAGGUCUUCGGAUCGUAAAACUCUGUUAUUAGGGAAGAACAUAUGUGUAAGUAACUGUGCACAUCUUGACGGUACCUAAUCAGAAAGCCACGGCUAACUACGUG